ACGACUUGCUUAAUUUAAACACACUUUCUCGGUAAUCCCCCGGUUCCGCACGGUAAACAAAAGUGGAAUUCCCUUCCGACUUCGGGCCCCCCUCUGGCCCUAGGAAAGAUACUGGUCUAAAUUUAAAGAGAUGAGAAAUCGCAGGAUCCUGACAGAAGUGGGCGGAAGCAUACCCAUCGGAUUAAAUCGGCAAAACAGUGACUGAAAUGGCGGAAAAGGAUAAAAAUAGAAUGGCCACUUUGCGAUGAGAACGACCUUAAGAUGCCUUUUCAAGAUUGUGGAAAUAUACUCCAAUACUUUCAAGAAUAAUAUAAUUUUUGCAUUUCAUAAUUAAAAAAAUUUAUUAAGCAGGCGAUGGCCAUGACUUCUAAAAUAUAUACAAUUGUCUCGUAUAAAGAAGAAUUAAUAAAGAUAUUUAUAAUAUCGGAAUUCUAAAAGAAUAA
This is a long non-coding RNA of Argiope bruennichi, 443 nucleotides long. RefSeq lists it as uncharacterized. The transcript is spliced from 2 exons. The record is from RefSeq and is a predicted model, not a curated record. NCBI's taxonomy places the organism in Eukaryota, Metazoa, Arthropoda, Arachnida, Araneae, Araneidae.